Molecule: long non-coding RNA, 1974 nt
Filed under: Malus domestica (apple)
Lineage: Eukaryota; Viridiplantae; Streptophyta; Magnoliopsida; Rosales; Rosaceae
Description: long non-coding RNA (MDOM_LNC013814)
Source: RNAcentral
AGGAAGUACAAUAUUAAAUAAUAAUACACGAGAUGAUGGAAUGUAGACGGCCUCAAUAAAAAAUUUGACAAAAUUUCAACCCAGAUGAAUCAGAAAAGAAGGGUCCCGCACCUAAUAUUAUACACAGAAUGACUAUCCUCUAUUGUGCGAGACAAUGCACCACACCAUGGGGUUCCUGCUUUACACGUUGAUAUGGUUGAAAAAUCAAAAUACGCACAACAAAAUACGAACAAAGUUAUGAAACUAGGAAUAUUAUUUAAUUAAUUGAAAAACAAAUAAACAACAUUGUCAAGACGGCUACAAACUGAGGACUAUAAUUUGAACUUAUUUCUCAUACUAAAUUACAAGUUAUAUUUAUAGAGACCUAAACCCAAGAAACCUUAAUAUAUAAUAUACCAAAAUUACCUAACAAUAAUAUAAACCUAAAACUAGGGCUGGGCACAGGCCGCGCUGAGCCCAAAUUUGGAGGAACCAGACCCUACCCAUUUAAAAUUUAAUGGGGUGGGCUGAGUCGGGUAGAGGGAUUUUGAGUUUGGAAAUCGGAUCUAAUAUCGGCCCGUUUGCCACGGGUUCAAUUACUUCUUCUUUUUUUCGGUUUUGGGCAUACGGAGAUUGAAGCAAAAUGAGGUGGAGGAGGCGGUGGCUACAAAUUCAUAAAAGACAAAGGGUAUGUUCAAUGAAAACCCAAAUUCUCUAAGAACCCACAAAAAAUUCACAAAAAAAAAAAAAAAAAAAAAAAAAACAAACAAACAAAGGGACGACCUCGUUGAGGCCGUCUUCCUUAUCAUAGAAGAGAAUCGGUGGGAGAAGAAAUUUUCCCCACCUGAAGUUAUUGUCUUCCUCAGUCCUUUUUCUUAGGACGCGAGACCCCAACGGACAUAUGAGCUUAAUGUGUAGGCUUCCUCUCUUCUUCUUCAUGCCUUGCCUUCAAUAUUUUAUUCCUCUUAACUGUAGUCCACAAAUUAGCAACAUCAUUCACAAAACCCUAACUGCAAUAGAACUCACAGAUAUAUAGACUUUUUGGGGAAAAAGAAAUUACAAGUGCUUCUUUGUCGACCAAUAUGUUGGAUUUCAAGUUAAGAAAAAUAAAUAAAUUCAGAGUUUCAGCUGGGAUUCUAUGAGUGAGGGAGCAGAGGCAGAACCGAACAAGCACCACAAAAUCAACUGAUUUAGACCAGAUUGGGUGGUCAGCAGCCGAGUUGUUCCCUUCCGUCUUCUUUGAACUGUUUGAGCCCAUCGUCUUCUUCGAACUAGAGCCUUGCAAUUUUCGUCUUCUCCGAUGGUGAUGUGAUGUGGUGUCGUCAUUGUCGAGGGGGAGAAGAGUGGGGUGCAAAGGAAUGAAAUUUGGUGUCGUCGUUUGACGACGCUUUGGAUGCAAAGGAAAGAUUGGGAUUUUGAAGGAAUGAAAUUUGGGAGUGGGAUGGAAUGGAUAAUGGAUUAGGGUUAGAGAAUUACUAAUGGAAAUGGUUGUUAUAAACGGGCCGUUCGGGACCCGUUAUUCCAAAUCCUAGGGCUCGGCCCGCCUCUUCCCAUUUCUAUUCUCAAAAAAUUAGAACUGCCCUGUACCCAUCCUGAACCUAAAUUACCCGCCCCUACCUACGGUUCCUAUACCAGUUUGCCCACCCCUACCUAAAACUAAUAUUUUCAAACAGAUACCUGGAUUGAAGAAUCUCUGCCAUAAUUUUUUUUUUUGUAUUAUUAGGACUUUCAUAGUAGUUUAGGUGAAUUUGAUUCCUAUAUUGCAAUAUCGGUACAAUGGUGUUAGGUUGAUAAGAGAUACUUUGGAUGCGGUUCCUAAUCUUUAACAUUCUUUGACUAAAACCUUAAUGGUAUUCAAAGUUUGAUCAAAGUCCCUUGACUUUGUACACCGCAUUAUAUUACAAUUAAUAUUAAUAUUUUUAUAGUUUUGACAUUAAUUGUUUGAUAUUUUAUGAGGUUUAUAAUCCUAUAAAUUUAAAAUCCCUCAUUAUAAUA